GUACACUCCUGCGGGAGGCAGCAGUGGGGAAUUUUGGACAAUGGGCGAAAGCCUGAUCCAGCAAUGCCGCGUGAGUGAAGAAGGCCUUCGGGUUGUAAAGCUCUUUUGUCAGGGAAGAAACGGUGAAAGCUAAUAUCUUUUGCUAAUGACGGUACCUGAAGAAUAAGCACCGGCUAACUACGUGCCAGCAGCCGCGGUAAUACGUAGGGUGCAAGCGUUAAUCGGAAUUACUGGGCGUAAAGCGUGCGCAGGCGGUUUUGUAAGUCUGAUGUGAAAUCCCCGGGCUCAACCUGGGAAUUGCAUUGGAGACUGCAAGGCUAGAAUCUGGCAGAGGGGGGUAGAAUUCCACGUGUAGCAGUGAAAUGCGUAGAUAUGUGGAGGAACACCGAUGGCGAAGGCAGCCCCCUGGGUCAAGAUUGACGCUCAUGCACGAAAGCGUGGGGAGCAAACAGGAUUAGAAACCCCGGUAGUCCC
Molecule: ribosomal RNA, 474 nt
Filed under: uncultured organism
Description: partial 16S ribosomal RNA
Rfam family: Bacterial small subunit ribosomal RNA
Source: RNAcentral